Molecule: unclassified non-coding RNA, 298 nt
Filed under: Agaricostilbales sp.
Lineage: Eukaryota; Fungi; Basidiomycota; Agaricostilbomycetes; Agaricostilbales
Description: partial contains 5.8S ribosomal RNA, internal transcribed spacer 2, and large subunit ribosomal RNA
Source: RNAcentral
CGCAUCUUGCGCUCUUGGGUUAUUCCUAAGAGCAUGCUUGUUUGAGUAACAGAAAAGCUCAACCCCGUCACGGUCUUUUGAUAGUGAUAGUAUAGGGUGUGGAUCAUGGCAGUCUGUCAAGCCUCGACUCUGCCGAAAGAUAAGCAGCCGAACUUUGAGUUGUGCGCUGACACUAUUGUUGUAAUACUUCGGUUUCAAUAGUUAUGCACUGUGCUCUUGUAAACUGUAGGCUUUGAAUCAAAAAACAAACUUUUUAAAGCUUGUUCUCAAAUCAAGUAGGACUACCCGCUGAACUUAA